GGGGCUGCAUUGGUUUCGACAUGGGUUCGGAAGCGUUGCGGAGCAUGCCGAGCUUGAGUCACGCUCGUAAAUCUCGGUUCACAAAACUAACUGCAAACGACGAACGUUUCGCACUCGCCGCUUAAUCCGGUGAGCCUUGCAACAGCAGGUCAAUGGGCUGGGCAAGGGUAGCGCAAGCUAUCCAGGCUGCAAGGUCAUACUACAUUGACUAGCAACGCAUCGGGUGCCUUGAUGCGGCGCAAAACUCAAGGGCACUGGUUUGUUGCGCAGCGUGCCGCUGUGCGGCGCAGCAAACAAGAUUAAAGCAGCCGGCUACGCAUGUAGAACUGUACGAACAAGGCUCGUGGACGCGGGUUCAAAUCCCGCCAGCUCCACCA
RNAcentral lists this transfer-messenger RNA (377 nucleotides) under Burkholderiales. Its description in RNAcentral is "Brachymonas sp017993135 Standard tmRNA". It matches the Rfam family "transfer-messenger RNA". From Rfam's summary of the family: Bacterial tmRNA, also known as 10Sa RNA or SsrA, is named for its dual tRNA and mRNA-like properties. Its role is to liberate the mRNA from a stalled ribosome. Lineage: Bacteria; Pseudomonadati; Pseudomonadota; Betaproteobacteria. RNAcentral also lists the same sequence under 1 other name. The record is from RNAcentral.